RNAcentral lists this ribosomal RNA (263 nucleotides) under uncultured archaeon. RNAcentral's name for it is "partial 16S ribosomal RNA". It matches the Rfam family "Archaeal small subunit ribosomal RNA", at positions 748 to 1009 of the family's 1478-position model. The record is from RNAcentral.
CAGCCGUAAACUAUGCGCGUUAGGUGUAUCGGUGACCACGAGUUACCGAGGUGCCGAAGGGAAACCGUGAAACGUGCCGCCUGGGAAGUACGGUCGCAAGGCUGAAACUUAAAGGGAAUUGGGCGGGGGAGCACCACAACGGGUGGAGCCUGCGGUUUAAUUGGACUCAACGCCGGGAAGCUCACCGGAUAAGACAGCGGAAUGAUUGCCGGGCUGAAGACUCUGCAUGACUAGCUGAGAGGAGGUGCAUGGCGUAGACGUCU